Long non-coding RNA from Amphimedon queenslandica, 237 nucleotides. RefSeq lists it as uncharacterized. The transcript has 4 exons. The record is from RefSeq and is a predicted model, not a curated record. Lineage: Eukaryota; Metazoa; Porifera; Demospongiae; Haplosclerida; Niphatidae.
AAUAAUGAGAUUGAUGUAGAGUGAGCUCUGCUUACCAUAUAUGAAUAUUACAAAAAGCUCAAAAUUAAAGAUAUUCAAAUAUUGGAAGAGAAGACACAAGUAGAGGAGAAGAAACAGAUUAUUACUGAAGAUUAUGAAAAACUGAAACUGAAAGUAGCUGAUAUGGAAGAACAAUAUCUCAACGAUAAACAGAUCAUUAUUGAUGACAAUCAAAAUCUCAUUUCAGAGAAAGACAAA